AGAUUAAGUUAUUAAGGGCGCACGGUGGAUGCCUUGGAACUAGAAGCCGAUGAAGGACGUUACUAACGACGAUAUGCUUUGGGGAGCUGUAAGUAAGCUUUGAUCCAGAGAUUUCCGAAUGGGGAAACCCAGCAUGAGUUAUGUCAUGUUAUCGAUAUGUGAAUACAUAGCAUAUCAGAAGGCACACCCGGAGAACUGAAACAUCUUAGUACCCGGAGGAAGAGAAAGAAAAUUCGAUUCCCUUAGUAGCGGCGAGCGAAACGGGAAGAGCCCAAACCAACAAGCUUGCUUGUUGGGGUUGUAGGACACUCUAUACGGAGUUACAAAGGACGACAUUAGACGAAUCAUCUGGAAAGAUGAAUCAAAGAAGGUAAUAAUCCUGUAGUCGAAAAUGUUGUCUCUCUUGAGUGGAUCCUGAGUACGACGGAGCACGUGAAAUUCCGUCGGAAUCUGGGAGGACCAUCUCCUAAGGCUAAAUACUCUCUAGUGACCGAUAGUGAACCAGUACCGUGAGGGAAAGGUGAAAAGCACCCCGGAAGGGGAGUGAAAUAGAACCUGAAACCGUGUGCUUACAAGUAGUCAGAGCCCGUUAAUGGGUGAUGGCGUGCCUUUUGUAGAAUGAACCGGCGAGUUACGAUUUGAUGCAAGGUUAAGCAGUAAAUGUGGAGCCGUAGCGAAAGCGAGUCUGAAUAGGGCGUUUAGUAUUUGGUCGUAGACCCGAAACCAGGUGAUCUACCCUUGGUCAGGUUGAAGUUCAGGUAACACUGAAUGGAGGACCGAACCGACUUACGUUGAAAAGUGAGCGGAUGAACUGAGGGUAGCGGAGAAAUUCCAAUCGAACCUGGAGAUAGCUGGUUCUCUCCGAAAUAGCUUUAGGGCUAGCCUCAAGUGAUGAUUAUUGGAGGUAGAGCACUGUUUGGACGAGGGGCCCCUCUCGGGUUACCGAAUUCAGACAAACUCCGAAUGCCAAUUAAUUUAACUUGGGAGUCAGAACAUGGGUGAUAAGGUCCGUGUUCGAAAGGGAAACAGCCCAGACCACCAGCUAAGGUCCCAAAAUAUAUGUUAAGUGGAAAAGGAUGUGGCGUUGCCCAGACAACUAGGAUGUUGGCUUAGAAGCAGCCAUCAUUUAAAGAGUGCGUAAUAGCUCACUAGUCGAGUGACACUGCGCCGAAAAUGUACCGGGGCUAAACAUAUUACCGAAGCUGUGGAUUGUCCUUUGGACAAUGGUAGGAGAGCGUUCUAAGGGCGUUGAAGCAUGAUCGUAAGGACAUGUGGAGCGCUUAGAAGUGAGAAUGCCGGUGUGAGUAGCGAAAGACGGGUGAGAAUCCCGUCCACCGAUUGACUAAGGUUUCCAGAGGAAGGCUCGUCCGCUCUGGGUUAGUCGGGUCCUAAGCUGAGGCCGACAGGCGUAGGCGAUGGAUAACAGGUUGAUAUUCCUGUACCACCUAUAAUCGUUUUAAUCGAUGGGGGGACGCAGUAGGAUAGGCGAAGCGUGCGAUUGGAUUGCACGUCUAAGCAGUAAGGCUGAGUAUUAGGCAAAUCCGGUACUCGUUAAGGCUGAGCUGUGAUGGGGAGAAGACAUUGUGUCUUCGAGUCGUUGAUUUCACACUGCCGAGAAAAGCCUCUAGAUAGAAAAUAGGUGCCCGUACCGCAAACCGACACAGGUAGUCAAGAUGAGAAUUCUAAGGUGAGCGAGCGAACUCUCGUUAAGGAACUCGGCAAAAUGACCCCGUAACUUCGGGAGAAGGGGUGCUCUUUAGGGUUAACGCCCAGAAGAGCCGCAGUGAAUAGGCCCAAGCGACUGUUUAUCAAAAACACAGGUCUCUGCUAAACCGUAAGGUGAUGUAUAGGGGCUGACGCCUGCCCGGUGCUGGAAGGUUAAGAGGAGUGGUUAGCUUCUGCGAAGCUACGAAUCGAAGCCCCAGUAAACGGCGGCCGUAACUAUAACGGUCCUAAGGUAGCGAAAUUCCUUGUCGGGUAAGUUCCGACCCGCACGAAAGGCGUAACGAUUUGGGCACUGUCUCAACGAGAGACUCGGUGAAAUCAUAGUACCUGUGAAGAUGCAGGUUACCCGCGACAGGACGGAAAGACCCCGUGGAGCUUUACUGUAGCCUGAUAUUGAAAUUCGGCACAGCUUGUACAGGAUAGGUAGGAGCCUUUGAAACGUGAGCGCUAGCUUACGUGGAGGCGCUGGUGGGAUACUACCCUAGCUGUGUUGGCUUUCUAACCCGCACCACUUAUCGUGGUGGGAGACAGUGUCAGGCGGGCAGUUUGACUGGGGCGGUCGCCUCCUAAAAGGUAACGGAGGCGCUCAAAGGUUCCCUCAGAAUGGUUGGAAAUCAUUCAUAGAGUGUAAAGGCAUAAGGGAGCUUGACUGCGAGACCUACAAGUCGAGCAGGGUCGAAAGACGGACUUAGUGAUCCGGUGGUUCCGCAUGGAAGGGCCAUCGCUCAACGGAUAAAAGCUACCCCGGGGAUAACAGGCUUAUCUCCCCCAAGAGUUCACAUCGACGGGGAGGUUUGGCACCUCGAUGUCGGCUCAUCGCAUCCUGGGGCUGUAGUCGGUCCCAAGGGUUGGGCUGUUCGCCCAUUAAAGCGGUACGCGAGCUGGGUUCAGAACGUCGUGAGACAGUUCGGUCCCUAUCCGUCGUGGGCGUAGGAAAUUUGAGAGGAGCUGUCCUUAGUACGAGAGGACCGGGAUGGACAUACCUCUGGUGUACCAGUUGUCGUGCCAACGGCAUAGCUGGGUAGCUAUGUGUGGACGGGAUAAGUGCUGAAAGCAUCUAAGCAUGAAGCCCCCCUCAAGAUGAGAUUUCCCAACUUCGGUUAUAAGAUCCCUCAAAGAUGAUGAGGUUAAUAGGUUCGAGGUGGAAGCAUGGUGACAUGUGGAGCUGACGAAUACUAAUCGAUCGAAGACUUAAUCAAAUU
This 2927-nucleotide ribosomal RNA is filed under the name Staphylococcus aureus. RNAcentral describes it as "bacterial LSU rRNA". It matches the Rfam family "Bacterial large subunit ribosomal RNA". Lineage: Bacteria; Bacillati; Bacillota; Bacilli; Caryophanales; Staphylococcaceae. The record is from RNAcentral.